Molecule: long non-coding RNA, 3497 nt
Organism: Patella vulgata (common limpet)
Lineage: Eukaryota; Metazoa; Mollusca; Gastropoda; Patellidae
Exons: 2
Source: RefSeq, a predicted model, not a curated record
GUGCAUGCUUAAAAAAAGGCCUCUGAAUCAUAUAAUAAUUUCUUCAAUUUUACUAUUCAUAAGCCUAAAAUAUUACGUAGUUAUAGACUAUAUAUAAAAUAUUGAAGUGCGUAGGCCUACAGUUGAUAGUCGCAUAGACUCCGUUAUCUACGUAUAUGAUAUAUGCCGCCAUUUUGGGUCAAGGUCAAGAUAAAUUACAGUCAAUACAAAUGAAUAACUACAUCGAUAGAUUAUUAAAUGUAAUUUCUAUUAACUGAUUUCAAUGUUAGGUGGUCUAUGUUUGUUGUCUUUUUCAGUAUAUUGUCCACAUUGAUUAAACUAUCAUUAUUAAAAUCAUUUUGAUUCUUCUAUAUUUGUACGUACUUUUUUACAACUCUGAACCCGGAAGCGAGGUAUUCUGGGAAGGUUAUUUUAAAGAUGGCGGGCGUUUUGGAAUUUAUUCGUGGAGUGCAUGAGAAAUGUUCAAUAUACAGCUACUUGGAUUACACAAACAGAGAAAGAUAGAUUAUACCAGUUAAAUUGAGAGGUUUUAUUUGAAAAUCCUAUAUUUGAGCACCAUUCAUGGCAGUCAUGUCGAAGAAGUUAUAAAAAGGUUGAUAAGGGCUUUGUAUAUGGAAGCUAGAUGACAUUACUACUUAUCAUACACAACUAUUUGUCACAUACCGACUUGGGAUUGAAACCAAGCGACUGAACUCAAUAACACUCCUCAAUAACACUCGUCUAUGAAACCACCCAGAUGGCAAAGAAAUAAAGACUUUUUAAUUAUGUACCGAACUCAUAUAUGUAUCUAUGGUAGCACAAAAUUCACCAGAAUGUAGGCCAAAGCUUUACUUUACAAGCAGUAGGCUUAAAAUAUUUUCCGUCUGAUCUUGUAAGAGUCAAUUGUUUAUGAAUAGUUUGCCUCAAGCAGAUAUCCUGUCACUGUGUCACAGUAUCAUAUAACCGCUCUUUGGCUUGAACUGAGUUGUAUCAGUGAGUUGAAAAUCUACUGCAGCCAGUAUAUUAGAUUCAAAAUUCUAACGAGCUUUCGUCUAACUUCUACUUCUGUUCAUGUAUUUUUUAACUUCUAUUCAUGUAAUUUCUAACUUCUAUUCAUGUAUUUUGUUAAAUUAAGACAAUGUAUAAUCCAACUUCUUUAUUUGUUCAGUGUAAAUUUUAAUUCUAUUCCAUCUUAUUUCUAUUAUUUAGACGAAAAACGUCUUCUUAAUUUUUACACUUCUGCCUAGCAACCAUCAUUAUGAAGUCAUUUGGUGUCGCCACUGCGUGCUCAUUUUUGGUGAUUGCGCACCUGGUCGGGACCAUUGUGUUGAUAUAAACGACACAUUCUUGAUAAAGACGAGAGUGUCCUCGUCGAAACGUUGCUUUAUAUUAAACUCAGUAAGAGUUAUCUAUAAAAUUGUACCCUGUGUUAAUGUAGACCAACAGUAUAUAAAUAUUAAUUGGCUCAACUUGUCUUAAAAAAAAUGAACAAAUGCUGUUUAGCUUGUAUUUGAAAUAGAAAAUGAAAUAUAAUGGGGUUUAACAUCCUACUAUUCUACUCCGAACUUGGCUAAUACGCCAUACAGUGUGCUACGAAGGAAACUUUGCCCGGACAGCGGCACUACGGAACGAUUAGACAGCUGUACUUGUUAGGCCCUCCAUCCUGCAUCACUGACAAGGAGGAACCAUGCCGGAAAAUCUGGAUGAACUUUCUUGACCAAUGCAGGGAUCGAACACCCUACCGCUAGGCUAGUGAGCCAGCGUCUUACCGACCGUAUUUGAAAUCGUAUUUGCAAACCAUACAUAGAUAUCAUGUUCAAUGUUGUUUGUGGGGUUGGACGGUCGAAAGGUUAGCACGUGCGCGCUGUACCAUAAGGUAUGUCAUUGAGUCAACUGGUGUGGUUUCGAUUCCCCGGUUGUACGUGACAAGGAAUAGGGUCGCCUUUCCAACCUAGUGGGUUUUCUCCGGGUCCUCCGGUUUCCUCCCAUUGCUAAACACCCCUACGCGCAAGCGAAUUAUUGAAAUAAAAUUGAACCAUGUUAAUACCGAACCUACAUGUAGUUUGUGUUGAGUGGACGUUUAACCCCAUCAGACUCUCUCUCUCUCGCUCUCUCUCUCGAAGUUGUUUUCAAUUUUAGCACUCCACCAAACCAUUCAACUGGACUAAGAGCGAGUCGUUUGUAUCAACAGAAUGGUCCCGAUCAGGUGCUCAAUCGCCAAAUUGAGCGAACGGUGGCGACACCAAACGACGUCAUAAUGAUGGUUGCUAGGUAGAAAUCAAAAUUCUAAAUUUGUUUACCAUUCAUGCUUAACAUGUAAAGUGACUAGACAUUUUUCGCCUUAAUAAUAGAAAUAAGAUGAAACAAUUAAAAUUUACACUGAACAAAAAAAGAAGUUGAAUUAUACAUUGUCUUAAUUUAGAAAUUACAUGAAUGGAAGUCAGAAAUUACAAGAGUAGAAGUAAGAAAUUAGACGAUAGCAUGUUAGAAUUUUGAAUCUAAUAUACCGCCAUAGUAUACGGGGAAACUUUUUAAACCCUUACAAAUUCUUCAAAUUUUUGUGAUAGAUCAAUAAUAGCAAAAAUCUGUGUUAAAAUUAUAUUUGUAAUGUGUUUAACAAAUUCUAUCACACAUGUAAUAUUGGUGUAAUUAAGUAUAUACCUUAUUUCAAUACUGGGGUAUUAUAUCGUUGCCCUGACUGUUUGUUUGUCCAAAUUAGUUUGUGAUUGUGAAGGUGACAGUUUUUUAUACGCUAACAUUUUCAUGUAGACGUAUAUUUUUGUAGCCCCUGUCCGUCCGAACGUCCAUCGGUCCGUCCACAAUUGUUUGUGGGACCGUAACUUCAUGGAUUAUGGCCCCUGAUUGUACUGAAAGUCAUGUUUUCAGCUUGUGGACCCUAUAGAGGUCAAAAUUUUUAUAUGCCCACAUUUUCAUGUGGACGUAUAUUGUGGUAGCCCCGGUCCGUCCGGACGUCUGUACACAAUUGUUUGUGGACACUCUACAGGUCACAAUUCUUAUCCGAUUUUGACGAAACUUGAAAUAUAGGUUUAUCUCCAAAAGAUCUUGGUUGCUUUCGAUAUUGGCAUGUAUCUGACUGUAACUUCUUGGAUUAUGGUCCCUGAUUGUACGAAAAAUCAAGUUUUUAGCUUGUGGACCCUAUAGAGGUCACAAUUUUUAUACGCCCACAUUUUCAUGUGGACGUAUAUUGUCGUAGCCCUUGUCCGUCUGGACGUCCAUCCGUUUUUAGCUUGUGGUCCCUAUAGAGGUCACAAUUUUUAUACGCCCACAUUUUCAUGUGGACGUAUAUUGUCGUAGCCCCUGUCCGUCCAGACGUCCAUCCGUUUUUAGCUUGUGGUCCCUGUAGAGGUCACAAUUUUUAUUCGAUUUAUAAAAAAAAAACCAUGUGUAUAUAUAACCAUUACACACUAAGAUCUUGGUUCCUUUUCAUAAUCGCGCAUAUCCGAACGUAACUUCCUCGAUUAUGGCUCCUGAUUGUUCGAAAAAUCGCAUAAUCAAGG